Molecule: ribosomal RNA, 228 nt
Filed under: uncultured bacterium
Lineage: Bacteria
Description: partial 16S ribosomal RNA
Rfam family: Bacterial small subunit ribosomal RNA
Source: RNAcentral
AGUGUAGGCGGCUACUUAAGUCGGAUGUGAAAGCCCCGGGCUCAACCUGGGAAUUGCAUUCGAAACUGGGUAGCUAGAGUUUGGUAGAGGUAAGUGGAAUUCCGGGUGUAGCGGUGAAAUGCGUAGAUAUCCGGAGGAACAUCAGUGGCGAAGGCGGCUUACUGGACCAAAACUGACGCUGAGGCUCGAAAGCGUGGGGAGCAAACAGGAUUAGAUACCCUGGUAGUC